This is a long non-coding RNA of Magnolia sinica, 1237 nucleotides long. RefSeq lists it as uncharacterized. Lineage: Eukaryota; Viridiplantae; Streptophyta; Magnoliopsida; Magnoliales; Magnoliaceae. The transcript is spliced from 2 exons. The record is from RefSeq and is a predicted model, not a curated record.
UUUAAGUUUCUGAAAUUACAUGAAGAAUGCUAACCUGAGUCAUGCAGACGAGACUGAAGUAUGCACACUGAUUGGGCGACCUUAAAAAGGGAGGAUUUUGUAGCUACCAACAAACCAUCACUAGCCCUUACUUAAGUGGGCCAAUCAGCAGAUGCAAUGAUGCAUGUUUUGCAUUUUUUUCAUACGCGCAUGAUUCAGCUUAGCACCUCGCUAGUCCUAAAACAUGAAACUGAUGAAAUUGCAAAGAACAUGGGAGGAUUUUGUGGCUACCAACAUUCCAUCACCAGCCCUUGCUUGAGUGGGCCAAUCAGCAGAUGCAAUGAUGCAUGGAUUGCAUUUUUUCAUUCGUGCAUGACUCAGCUUAUCACCUCGCUAGUCCUAAAACAUGAAACUGAUGAAAUUGCAAAGAAAUAAACUAUUAUAUGUUAUCCAAGAUCAAGAUCAUAUAAAAAGAAAUCACCAGGCAAUAACAAAUCCAAUCAUAGAGACCUAGGAGGUUUCUCUAACAAUGAAGAAAGAUAAACUCGUCCUUUGACUUCGGAGAGAUGACCAACUUGUAUGUCCUGUACCCGAAUUGCAAGAACAUGUAGUUAUCCAGAUCCUUUCUGCUCCAGAAGAACCUGUCAAUCCAGAGCAACCCACCAGGCCUCACCUUUGUUCAACCAAAAGUAAUUAGACAAUAUUCUCAUAGCGAAAUCGUCAUUAUGAAUUUGAAUAUGUGAAGAUUUUCCUGUUUGGCAGGAUAGCUUUUUGGAGUAGAUACUUAACGACAAGCCGAAGUUGUGAACUUUUUAGAGCUGAUCUUAGGAAGGUUCCUUUGAAAGAAGAUUCGCGGGCUGGUUUUAUCCAUUAAAGCUAAGCUAAUGGACAGGUAGUUAAAGCAGUAUGAUAAAGAAUCCAUGAAGAUGGCUAUCCUAAAGCAUGAAGAAACUUUCAAAGAGCAGAUUCUGCUGCCUCUCUCUCGUUAUUUUAAGUGCACCUUCAUUGCGAGCCAUACUUCAACUGAUUCCAGGUCCAUCAUCUCAAGUACGAGUGUAGAUAGUUGGAUGUAGGCCUGUUUCGCUGCUAGUAAGCCUGUGCUCUAUGCAUGCAUGUUUUUUGGAUUUCUGCGGGAUCUGUUUUCGUCUCUGCUGUGAAGUCGAAAGCUACACUCAUGUUGAUGUGUAUGUGUAGAAGUUCCACUCUUUAUUGUGUAAAUCAAGUUUAUCUGCAUACAAAAUGCCAAUCCGCUUCCCAG